GCCGCCGACCUCGCCACUGACGGGGAGACAGCUACGGCAACUAACUUAGAACCGGGAACUUGGUAUGAAAUUCGAGUGAGCGCGUUUUCGGAGGCCGGAGAAACAACCGCUGUCUACAUAGCGGCGACUCUCACACCAAAUGGAGAACGGAUCGGAUCUCCGAGCGAGGUGUCGAUACGUGCGGGCGGAGCGGGCGGCGCGGCGGGCGGCGCGGCGGUGGGAGCGGGGCGCGGGG
This is a long non-coding RNA of Papilio xuthus (Asian swallowtail), 235 nucleotides long. RefSeq lists it as uncharacterized. The record is from RefSeq and is a predicted model, not a curated record. The transcript is spliced from 3 exons. Lineage: Eukaryota; Metazoa; Arthropoda; Insecta; Lepidoptera; Papilionidae.